AGUUAAUGAUCUUGAAUAAGUUUAUAUUUUGAAAAUAUAAGAUAGAUUUUUCUAUUAACUU
This 61-nucleotide transfer RNA is filed under the name Diartiger fossulatus. RNAcentral's name for it is "tRNA-Ser". Lineage: Eukaryota; Metazoa; Arthropoda; Insecta; Coleoptera; Staphylinidae. The record is from RNAcentral.